GCCUCCCUCCCUCAAGAGAACAGCCCUGCUCCCCUCAUCUAAACUCCUUCAAAUGCUUGCUCUAAAGCAUUGGCUCCAUUGCUUGCAAAAAUCGAAACAACCUUGAAAUCCUCUGGAAAGGAAAUCCCUUUCAGCUUUCUAUUUCUGUGAUUUUCUGGUUAAUUUUCAAUAAAUAGUGAAAGAUAAAAGAACCACUAAGCAAACGCUCCUGACCAGAGGCCUUGUGGACCCUCUUGAACGUAGAGCUAAGGGUCUCUCCGUUACACAUCAAGGCACACUGAACAACAGGGGACAUCUACUGAACACCUAUCAGGUGCCCAGGGCAGUUGUUGGCAGGCACCAAGGCUGAGCAAGCCUCCGGUGCUCAGCUCAGGAAAAAACCCAGGAGCCGUCCAGAGUCAGGGUGGCUUCCCGGGAGAGCGGCCUGUGAGGCAGCCACAGUCAGGGGCCCAGUGCUUGGCUUCCUGCUCUGCCAUCUCCAUAGUGAAUUUCCAAAUUACUUUCUCAUUGAUCUUGGGUUUUUAAUUGAAGUCUGUGGGGACAAGGGAGCACAUAUGUGAACACAGGAGAGGGAGGGAUGGGAGACGCAGGAGACCAUCUUUAUCCACAAGGAGAUUGACUUGGACCGCUCCAGCGGCCAUAGCAAACACGUGACUGAACCUCAUUCAGAGAGUCACCUGCAGAGCUCCUAGCUGCUCCAGCAACACGAGUCCAUGGCACAGUCUGGAGAUGGCCAGUCCAAGCUCAGAGUGGACGUUCCGGGGAGGGCUCUCUUCCUGGCUGGUAGACGUCACCUUCUUCUUGCUGUGUCCUUGUAUAACAGCUCUUGCAACUAAAGAAAGCAAUUUUACCACUACUGUGAUGAUUCAUUUUAUUUGUCAACUUGGUUGGGCCAUGAUGCCCAGAUACGUGGUCAAACAUUGUUCUGGAUGUUUCCGUGAAGGUGUUUUUGGAUGAGAUUUCCCUGACGUAGAUGAGCCCCACCCAAUCUGUUGAAGGCUGAAGAGCACAGAAAGCUGACCUCCCUACAAGCAAGAAAGAAUUAGGCAGCAAACAGCCCUCAGACGUCAUCUGCAAUGCCAGCUCUUUCUGGUUCUGCACCAAACUGUCUUUAGACCCAAACUACAGCUUUUCCCUGAGUCUGCAGACUGCUUACCACCUCCAUGGAUUUUGGACUCACCAAGCUUCCACAGUCCCGUGAGCAAAUUCCUUAGAAUAUGCACCUAUCUCUCUGCUAUUGUUUUGUUUCUCUGGGAACACCAACUAAUGCAAUCACCCUUAUCACAAACUCUGUAGAGGAUUCUCCAUGAGUCUCACGUUUCUGCACAUCCUCUGAGUAGAAGCAGUGAGAGUUUUUGUCCUGGAGCAUCUUGUCAAAGAUGGUUAAACAGUGAACAGCUUUGGAAGACAGAGACACUGUGACCCUCAAGGAAAAGGGCAGGUAUGCCUUCUGCUUCUAGUGAAAGGCAGCCUCCCAUCCCCCAAGUUCAGGUUCAUAUCCUGAAAUGCGAUCCACUGCAUGUGCAAAUGUCACCGGACCCUCCUUGAGUCACCCAGUGGGGCUGGGGAGUAGGAGAGCCAGAAUUGCUGAUACUCUGCCUACUGCUUUGCUUGAGUCAUAAGUCCUUUUGGUCUUUGACCCAGAGUACUCAUGUCUUCUGUUAGCAUUCAUGAAACUGGGACAGGGUAGCUUGGAAGCUUACAAAUAGGGUGAAACAUUAGAUCGUUCUCAGUUCCUGAUGGUCUACCUAAACUCUGCCAAAGGUUCUAUGAUCAAAUCUCAUCAAAUACAUUGUGUGGUGUCUUGAAAAUACAUCCACAAAUCCUUUGACAAUCCUGCUUUGAAAAGUACGUUUCAAUGCUGCUUCCCUGAGUGUCUGCUAGACUUUGUAACUUGCUUCUAAAGCAAUAGAAUGUGGCAGAAGUAUCCCUUGAAGGGAGGCCAAAGUGGAAGGAUCCCUUGAAGCCAGAAGUUUCAGACCAGCCUGGAAAACAGAGCAAGAACCUGUCUCUACAAACAAAAGUUUAAAAUUGGCCAGGUGUGGUGGCUCAUGCCUGUAACCCCAGAACUUUGGGAGGCUGAGGUGGGCAGAUCAUUCGAGGUCAGGAGUUCGAGACCAGCCUGGCCAACAUGGUGAAAUGCCAUCUCCACUAAAAAUAGAAAAAUUAGCUGGGUGUGGUGGUGGGCUCCUGUAAUCCCAGCUACUUGGGAGGCUGAGGCAGGAGAACUGUUUGAACCCGGGAGGUGGAGGUUGCAGUGAGCCAAGAUAGUGUCUUUGUACUCCAGCCUGGGCGACAGAGUCAGACUCUAAAAAAAAAAAAAAAAAAAAAAAAGUUAAAAAUUAGCUGGGCUCAGUAGCAGGUACCUGUAGUCCCAGCUACUCAAGUGGCUGAGGCAAGAUGAUAGCUUGGGCCCAGGAGUUCAAGACUGCAGUGAGUCACGAUUGCACCACUGCACUCUAGCCUGGGUGACACAGUGAGAUUCUGUGUCUAAAAACAGACAAGGGCAGAAAACAAGAAAACACACACGAGCCAUUCUGUGGAUGUUUUCAAAUAAGCAACUAUUUACUCUUUCUGUCGCUGUGUGUGACAAUAGCAAGGAAGAUCCUAUUUACUCUGGGGCUUCUUACCUGAGCAAUUAUACAGUGAAAGGAGCAAAAAAGAAAAAUAAAAUAAAACCCUGAACACCAGUUUAGGGAAUCCGAAAUGGCCAUUCUGCCUCUUGCUGAGAUCUGACCACAGCCAAAGGUGCUGCAGCUCUCUGAUUCUCAGGUGAUUUGGGAUGACUAGUGUAGUCAUACCUAGUAGUCUAAAUAAUUUUGAUGAUUAAAUGAGAAACAUGAUAGCAUUUGCUAUGUACUAAAUAUUGUGUAAAUGAAUUUAGAGUGAUGAUUUUCUUUAACAAAUUUAACCAUCUAGAAUUGUGUGUGGCACAUGUUAUGUAAGUAAUAAACCUUGGUCUCUGACAUUCUCCCAACACAGAAGAUUCAUGCUUGGAUAUGUGUCCAUGAUCUCAGUUUCUGUGCCUUAAAAUAAAAUCCAUUACUUCCUCUUUUUGUGAUUAUGGCGAACAGCUUCUUGUAACUGUGAUCUACCUUUUAAAAAACUUCAAUUUUUAUUAUUACAAAGCAACACACAUUAAUAUGAAUCAUUCUGAUGAAGAUAUAAAAGUUGCUGCUACCUCAGUGAUACUCUACCUCAGUGUGACUCUACCUCAGUGAUAAAGGAAACGUUCUCAUUUGGCCAGAGUUACCACAGUGGAAAGAACAACUUCACUCCUUCCCUGAGCACUCGUGACAGUACCUCAGGUCUCACAAAUAGGUUCAGGGGGUCCCAAAGGUGAGAUGCACAUGCCCAAGAGUCCGUACAGAGUGAUAUAUUGCAGUACAAGUAAAAAACAUUAGAACUUCUUUGCACAUUUAUUUUUAUCGGAUUCAUUAAUUACAUUUAUGUCUCUGAGUAUCCUUUAUAAUGCUCAAAAUACAACGGAAGACUUACAUGUCUAUACAUUGUUUGUUUCUAUCACUGUCUAAUAGCUCAUGGAAGCUGCCCAGCAGGAAGGGGCUGCCCCUGCUGG
This is a long non-coding RNA of Callithrix jacchus (white-tufted-ear marmoset), 3577 nucleotides long. NCBI's taxonomy places the organism in Eukaryota, Metazoa, Chordata, Mammalia, Primates, Cebidae. The record is from Ensembl.